AUCCAGCUGACGAGUUCGAAAUUGGACGAAACGUGUUUCUUAGAU
Molecule: non-coding RNA, 45 nt
Organism: Schistosoma haematobium
Lineage: Eukaryota; Metazoa; Platyhelminthes; Trematoda; Strigeidida; Schistosomatidae
Source: Rfam